CUUCAUCCAAAUUGUUCACUGGAGAUGGGACUUCCAGCUCUUCCUCCAAGUAAAAAUGAAAAGUAAACGCUUCACAUCAAUUCAGGACACCGAGGUGGCCACCACAGAACAACUGAAGAUCCUCGCCAAGGUGGACUUGUAGAACUGCUUCAGAAAAUGUUCGACAGACAGUUCUGCAAAAACCAAAUCACGAGUUAGUCUUGCCAGGAAAAGGGACGUACCAGUUAACAGUCCAGCUGCCCACCACUCCGGAUGAAGUCCCAGAUUCUAAGGAGAAAAUUCCAACACGUUUUGUAAGUAAACAAAGGGAUCCAGGCAUCUGAGCAGAGGAGGUAAAGCAUUCA
RNAcentral lists this long non-coding RNA (344 nucleotides) under Cavia porcellus (domestic guinea pig). Its description in RNAcentral is "lncRNA (ENSCPOG00000040623.1)". The record is from RNAcentral. Lineage: Eukaryota; Metazoa; Chordata; Mammalia; Rodentia; Caviidae.